AAGUUUAAAUUCUGCAUCUUCUAGUCGAUUUUGUAACUCAGUUAUAAGCCUUUUUUGUGCUUCAAACUCAGUUCUUGACUCAAAUGCAGACAGAUCAGAUACCUGUAAUUUAUUUUGUGCAUCCUCAAGGUGCUCUUGCAGUGCCCUUAACUGCUCACUCUGUGAUAAGCAUCUUUCCUCUAAUAUAUUUGAUUUUACUGCUAGCUCAUCACAAUUAACCACUCUGGCUGUUAAAUCGUGCACUUGUGACAGGUAAUGAUCACGAUCAUUUCUCGCCUGUUGCAACUCUCCCCUUAGAGAUGCAACUUCAUACACCAAAGCAUCCUUCUGCUUUGAUACUUCAUCUAGAGAUGCCUAAUAGAAUCAUCAAUCAUCCAUCAAUUAAAUUUCAUAACAACAACAAUGGAGGAAAAUAAUGGGGAAGAUUGUCCAAAAAUGUCUCAUACGCUUAUACUAGUAUGAUUUGACUUGAUAACUCUAAUGGGGCUACCCAAGAAACUAAGAAAGCACAACUGAAAUACUUGUAAAAUGGACAAGUAUCUUAUCCAAAUCGUUUCACUGUUUGAGCAUCCAACUUAAAAGCCUAAGCCAUUGGGUGAAAAGGCCCAUCUACUUUAUUUACCUAUCUCCAGGCCCCUGCCAAAGGGAUGUGAGACUGCCACUCAGAUAUUCAAUACCUUUGGGAAAUCAAGGGAUUCUAUAUUAGAUAGCUCAAUUUGGACAAAUUGACAAGGACAACAAACAAGCAAUGCUGACUAUUUUCUUGCAACAUAAGUAUACACCACUGCUUGAUUACAUAGAUGUUGAUUCCUGUAAAGCCCUACUGUUCUUAGGUAUAAAAGCUCUAUCAUUCACAGUCUUGCAUUCUCUAAGUGGCAUCACUCACAAAGCAAAACACUAUAGUAGAAAUACCAAAAACUAUACCAAAAGAAAUGUUGCACAGUGCCUGCUUGCAAAAUACACAACCCAUCAAAUAUCAUUUUACAACUAUAGAAGUAUUUUCCUAUGUGUGCAACCAUAAGGCCAGCUAGGACAUUUUGUCUCUCUUCCAAAACAGUCAAAUUCAUUACUAAAACCGUCAAAGUAAUACAUUUUGCUAGUAGUUUUGAAUUGUGAACAAUAGAGUAUGUUUCUUCCCUAAAAGACAAGUAUCAGGACAAAAAAGGGUAAAACAUCACUAUGACAGGUAUCCUGUUUGUUGUGGAGCGGCAAAAACAAUAGUUGAUAUCGAUAAUGAGGACAAGUUGAAUCAGUUUUUAACAGGCCUGUGUGAGAAUUAUGAUCAUGAGAGGAACCAAAUUCUUCUAAUGGGUCCAUUACCAGGGAUAAAUAGGCUUAUUCCAUGGUACUAAGGGUAGAAAAGCAGAGAGAGGCGGUUUGCAGCAUUAUAAGUGAACACUCUUACAAAAGUAAUAAAAUUAAAUUCCUGAAUUUCCACGGUAAGUAACUUCUUGCACUGUGCAAUUAACUAGUUACGCAACAAGAAUAAUUCACUCAGAAAGAGGGGGGAAAACAACAAAAUAAAAGCUCACUUUGCACAAAGCAUAUUGAUCUUGCAAUGAUUUGUUUUGACCCCUUAAGUUGCUGAGACUCUCCGCAAUAUCAGCUUUUUCUUUCUCUCCACGCUUAACAGUUUCAUGAGCUGUAUCAAGAUCUGUCUGGAGUUUACUAUUAUAUAACUGUAAGCUUGAAUUGUACUCCUG
RNAcentral lists this unclassified non-coding RNA (1703 nucleotides) under Hevea brasiliensis (rubber tree). The record is from RNAcentral. Lineage: Eukaryota; Viridiplantae; Streptophyta; Magnoliopsida; Malpighiales; Euphorbiaceae.